RNAcentral lists this long non-coding RNA (2907 nucleotides) under Cyanistes caeruleus (blue tit). Its description in RNAcentral is "lncRNA (ENSCCEG00000008134.1)". Lineage: Eukaryota; Metazoa; Chordata; Aves; Passeriformes; Paridae. The record is from RNAcentral.
AGGUAUUUUCUUUGGCUCUCCCCACCCCACCAGUAAGGAAGCUGGGGGUACACAAGAAGCUGAGAGGAGACAUGGUCAGGACAGCUGAUUACAACUGACCAAGUGGACAUCCCACACCAUAUGGUGUCAUGUUCAGCAAAUAAAGAUGGGGGAGAGGUUAACAAGGGGCCCCCUGCUCAGGGACUGACUAGGCAUUGGUCAGUUGGUGGUGAGCAACAAUUUUCACUUGCAUGACUUGUCUUUCUUGGGUUUUAUUUUCUCUCUUUGUAAUUUUUUUCUUUUCCUUACUAUUACUGGUGUUGUUUUUAUUGUUAUUAAACUGUCUUCAUCUCAACCCACAGGUUUUCUCAUUUUUACUCUUCUUAUUCUCUUCUCCAUCCUGCACUGGGCAGAGUGAGUGAACAACUGCAUGGUGCUUAGUUGCUGUCUGGGGUUAAACAUUGAAUGGCAAUUUGGAUUCUUCCAAGGAAUCAUAGAAUCAUGGAAUAUCCUGAGUCCUUGGAAGACCCCCAGAAGGAUCAUCAAAAUCCAACUCCUGGCCCUGCACAGAACACCUCAAGAAUCACAACAUGUGGUUGAGUGUUGUCCAAAGGCUUCUUGAACUCUGUCAGUCUGGUGCUGUAACCACUGGCCCGGGGGGCCUGUUCCAGUGCCAAGCCAACCCCAGGUGAAGAAUCUUUUCCUGAUAUCCAGCCAAAACCUCCCCUGGAACAGCUCUAUACCAUUCACUUGAGUCCAGUCACUGGUCAGUCUUUGUUAUGUCUUUUAUUUUUCUAUAUACUACUUGACCAUUAACUUGAGCUCUUCAGUUUUAACUUCUCUUUGGAAAAGAACAGUUGCAUCCCAUCCUGUUUCACAUCCUUUUUUAUAUUCUUUGUGGCUGAUUUCUCCCCAGUAAAACUUUACUACAGGUAAAAACUACAGGUGCUCUCAUUUUUCUCCCCAAGAAUAGUUUGUUAUGUUAGCAAACUUUUUAUUCUCAAGAUGUUUCUGCAUGGGAACUAACCAGGCUAGCUGCUAGCUAUUCUUAGCCAAAGUAACAAGGCCUGAACCAUGAUUUUACAAGGCCUUUCUUUUGUAAGGUUUUACCUAUAUGUGACAAUUAAAUCCCUAUUGAUAAUUUCAUUUUGGACAGAGUUCAAAUUGUUCAAAUGUCAGAGUUCAGAUUCAUGGAUUUAAAAUAAGUUUCAUAUGUCAGACAUAACAAUGCAUACUCCAAAUACUGGUUGACAUUAUGACUGUGUGGUUGAAGGUACAAUCUUACCACUAGAAACCUCUUUCCUCCUUUACAUUUUCUCAGCAUAGAGUAUGGCAUGUAGACCAUGCUUUAUAAAGAGGCAAAAUUUCAGGUUGUUGAAUUCUGUUUUCCUCAUGGGUUGUUCUGUAUUGGGUAAGUUGUAUUUCACUAGUCUCUGAGAUUUUUUUUAACUUGCAGGUAAUGAAUUUGCUCAGUAGGGAUUGUAAAAAACUCAAACUAGAUUUAUAUCAAUUCCCCAAAUAUAAUAUACUUUUGUAACUUUUCCAAACAAAAGCUCCAGUCACCUUGCUCUUAGCUUUGGGUUUUCUUAUGUAUAAGGCCAUUAUUUCAAUGAACCACAAAACAGAAUAUAGGAAUGUGGUAAAAUAGGAUAUUUUCAUGCAUGGUUUGACUCUGUAGCAAAAUGUGAAGUGACUUGCGUAUGCUGAGAAGUUCAUCAUUGACUUACGUAUUUUCAGUGUGCAGUGGGGCUGGCUUGGAGUAUGGCUGUACAGAAGCUGAUCGACAAUGCAUGUCCUUUAUUCUGUAAAUAGGACAUUGGUGAAACUGAUAGUUGUGUGUAACUGAUAUCAACAAGCUUGAAUCAUGUGUUCUCACCUGCAUGGUCACCCAGAGACAAGAUAUAUAGCAUAAUCUGCAGGUAAAAAGAAAUACAGGCUCUGGAUUUUUUUCAUUUCAAUGAAAAAAAAUUGAAAUGUCUAAAUAGAAAUUCUUGCUGUCACCCCACCCCAGAAUGACACUGUCAUCUUAACUGAAAGAGCUGUAAUUUAUUUCCUGUACUGUUUUGCAAAAAUUGUUUCUGUUAAGUGAAUUUUCAAAAAAAAAAAAAAUUAAAUUAUUAAAAAAGAAUGAUCUUAAUUCUCCAAAAUUGAGACAACUACCAAAUGUUUGCUUGUAGAGUUUGUACUUUUAUCAGUCUAACCAGAGGCAGAAUUCUGAAGUUCUAUACUAAAACAGAAAAUAGCUGACAAUUAAAAAAAGUGAACAUCUCAUCUGCUUUCAGCCUCCUUACAAAUUUUAUAAUGUUAAUAUUAAAUGGCACUUGGAAAUAACUGAGAGACAGAACCUGGAGUCUAUGCAUGAUACAUUCCAUGCUAGAAAUAAUCCUCAAAGUGAACACUGGUAGAGGAUUUGUUUCAGUUUAUCAUAGUUGUGUUUUUUAAAUGUACAUUUUUGAUUUAUAUUUGUCUUGAAACCUACGUGAAGUUGCCACUGAGUUGUGGAGAACUGCAGGUAGAGAUACGUCUUUAAUAUGAGGCUAUGAAAGUCUUUAUUUCCAGAAUACGUACAUUUUAAAAACAUAUGAAGAAGGUCAGUUGGCCCUUUGAAUUCCCUUGUACCUUUAGCAAAUAUUUUAUUUUGUUGCUUUUUUAUUUUCAUGCUUUUUAUAGACUUGUGUAUGAUAGACAGGCUUUGGACAGGACAGUGAAAUGAAAAAUUAUUAAUUUCUCCAUAGAUUCUGAUAAUUUUAUAUGAAAAUAGAACACAAUAGGACUUAAAGGUCAGUUCUUGCUUUACAUUAAACCAUAGGCUUUUUGUCUUUCUUCAGAGAGCUCUGAGCACUGAAGUGUUCAUUGCUAUGUGUAAAAAAAAAUACUGUGUCCUGCCUGUGAACAAUGGAUAAAUAAAGGCACUGUAUCUAGAAAACA